UGUAGGGGGUGCAGUUUCACUCUCGGAGCUGCGUGCAUGAGAGGCCAGAGGGCGCCCGAAAAAUACCGGAAGUGCAAAAUGACGCAUGUAUGUAGGCUACUUAAAGAAAAUCCUGUUUUUAGUUUGUGUAAUUGUUGAUUUGAUCACAAACGCUUGUGUAAAAACUUGCCACGCUUGCCAUCGGAGCUGCUUAUCCCUGAAUUAGAUGUUCAACUCUGUAUAACCCAUGGCUGCAUAAUCCAGGCAGAUCGCAGAGUCUGUCCUCGGCUGUCUCUCCAUUGGCACUGUCACUCCCUCAUUCAGGGUCCCUGUGUGCCUGUAUGUAACAUCAGUAAAGCUGUCAGGCAGCCAGGCCAAGGUAAACAGCCCAGCGCUGGGUUCAGGGGUGAUGGGGGCCGAGAUGUUUUUCCUCAGGAACCCAGGGACCCCUGGAGGCUUCUGGCUGGGGCCAGGGAGGGGCCGACAGGGGAAGACGAUCCCCUCAUUUGCCCCCUAGAAGAACACACACCGCCGUUCGUCAUCCUGUUGCUGCUCCUCAUCAAUCCCACACUGCCACAAUGGUCUGUGACAGCAGCACUGACAGGCCCAUGACAGGCCUGCCACCCGGACGGCCUGUCCCAGCCAGCCAGCCUACAAUACGGGAGAAGACAAACAGACCUGAACAUGCACAACUCAUUCCUCCUCCCCCCCCCAAACCUUGUUGGCGCCUGGCUGUGUGGCCCAACUCUCUCAAACUCUCCCAACAACACUGUACAAACGCUACAGCGGGGCUUUAGCUACGGCAAUGUCGCUCUGUUGGCCGGUCCACAACUGUGGUCCGGACUGAAACAUCUGUUGGAUGGACUGCCAUGACAUCAGUGUUCAGAUAUUCAUGGUCCCCAGAGGAUGACACCUCCUAACUCCCCUGACUUUCCCUCUAGCGCCACCAUGAGGUUGAUAUUUAUUUGUGGUUUUGAAUAAAAAAGCUCAACUUUUGGAUGGAUUGCCAUGAAGUUUGGUACAGCCGUUAUUUUUUACAGCCCAACACUUUGGUUUAUUACCAAACACUUGCAAUCAGCAAGACAUUCCCAUGAGCCUCAGCUGUAGGCGACUUGUUUAUUGUUAAAUAGCUAAUGUUAGCAUGUUGACAUGCUAAACUAAGAUACCAAAUAUGGCAACAUUGCCUCCUAAACAUCAACAUUUUAGCAUGGUUAUUGUGAGCAUGUUUGCAUUUAGCUCAAACUACCACUGUGUCUGUAGGCGCUUCGCAUAGUUACCCACGAAACUGAAGGUUUUUUGACCAGGUUUCUUUUUGGAUUUUACAUUUCAUAAUAUUGCAUUGUG
RNAcentral lists this long non-coding RNA (1323 nucleotides) under Cottoperca gobio. RNAcentral describes it as "lncRNA (ENSCGOG00000001460.1)". The record is from RNAcentral. Lineage: Eukaryota; Metazoa; Chordata; Actinopteri; Perciformes; Bovichtidae.